This 440-nucleotide ribosomal RNA is filed under the name uncultured bacterium. RNAcentral describes it as "partial 16S ribosomal RNA". It matches the Rfam family "Bacterial small subunit ribosomal RNA", at positions 338 to 795 of the family's 1533-position model. The record is from RNAcentral.
CCUACGGGGGGCUGCAGUAGGGAAUAUUGCUCAAUGGGGGAAACCCUGAAGCAGCAACGCCGCGUGGAGGAUGAAGGUUUUCGGAUUGUAAACUCCUUUUGUUAGAGAAGAUAAUGACGGUAUCUAACGAAUAAGCACCGGAUAACUCCGUGCCAGCAGCCGCGGUAAUACGGAGGGUGCAAGCGUUAAUCGGAAUCACUGGGCGUAAAGAGCGCGUAGGCGGGAUAGCAAGUCAGAUGUGAAAUACUAUGGCUUAACCAUAGAACUGCAUUUGAAACUGUUAUUCUAGAGUAUGGGAGAGGUAGGUGGAAUUCUUGGUGUAGGGGUAAAAUGCGUAGAGAUCAAGAGGAAUACUCAUUGCGAAGGCGACCUGCUAGAACAUAACUGACGCUGAGGCGCGAAAGCGUGGGGAGCAAACAGGAUUAGAUACCCCAGUAGUC